Molecule: transfer RNA, 849 nt
Filed under: Heterocephalus glaber (naked mole-rat)
Lineage: Eukaryota; Metazoa; Chordata; Mammalia; Rodentia; Bathyergidae
Description: lncRNA (ENSHGLG00100043842.1)
Source: RNAcentral
CAGCAGAGAUUCGAGUAUUUGAGCAAAGAAUCCAGCGGGAACCCUGAGACGAUGAGACGAGAUCGGCUGCAGCAGCCGCGGGUCCCCGUUAUGCAAGAGCGCGCAGCUGGCUCUGAUGGCAGUCAUUUCGCUCCCUAACCCAGCCGGCGGCCAGUCCCUAAUCUCCGAGUCCUGAGUUUGAGACCCAAAUUGAGCAGUUUGAGGGACGGCGGCGCAGCUUCCGCUCAGAACACGCCGCGCUCCGCCACUCCGGCUACUGAGGCACCUCGUCCUGCAAUCCAGGGCCCCACGGGCCUUCCGACCGACCUGCAAGCUCAAUCGACGUUGGCCCAACUUUCCUUUUGUCCACGUGGGAGCAGUAACAGGCUCCCCUUUUUCACCCAGCCUGGGAGUGUCAAUGGAGGCCUGGCCAUGGUCGGUGUAACCCUGAACCUCAACCCCACCUAGAACUGCCUUGAAGUCCCCUGCGCAGCAGCCACGAAGCUCCCAGCUGACGGCGUACAAUUCCCAACCCAUUUCUGCUGGCGGCACCGCAGGAUCUAAGGGAGGCAGCAUUGUCUCCUGGAAGUCUCCAAACGCAGGGUGCAGAAAGAGACCACACCUCCUAGCCACACCCAGAACUCUGAGUUCCAAGCCUCAGUCCCAGGGCCCCAGCCGCUGCGUCCCAGAGCCGGGACUCCAAGAGUGUGUCCGCAGAAAAAAGUGGGCUCGUCCGGGAUUUGAACCCGGGACCUCUCACACCCAAAGCGAGAAUCAUACCCCUAGACCAACGAGCCGCCCUAGAGGAAAAAGCUGACUAGGAUCCUUGCAGUUCUGAGCCCCCGGCUCCGCCCCGCCUGGGGCUGGCCU